AACGCGAAGAACCUUACCAAAUCUUGACAUCCUUCUGACCGACUCGUAAUGGAGUCUUUCCUACGGGACAGAGGAGACAGGUGGUGCAUGGUUGUCGUCAGCUCGUGUCGUGAGAUGUUGGGUUAAGUCCCGCAACGAGCGCAACCCUUAUCCUUAGUAGCCAGCAGUUCGGCUGGGCACUCUGGGGAGACUGCCAGGGAUAACCUGGAGGAAGGUGGGGAUGACGUCAAAUCAUCAUGCCCCUUAUGAUUUGGGCUACACACGUGCUACAAUGGCGUAAACAGAGGGAAGCGAAGCCGUGAGGUGGAGCAAAUCCCAAAAAUAACGUCUCAGUUCGGAUUGUAGUCUGCAACUCGACUAUAUGAAGCUGGAGUCGCUAGUAAUCGCGAAUCAGAAUGUCGCGGUGAAUACGUUCCCGGGUCUUGUACACACCG
This 434-nucleotide ribosomal RNA is filed under the name uncultured bacterium. RNAcentral describes it as "bacterial SSU rRNA". It matches the Rfam family "Bacterial small subunit ribosomal RNA", at positions 958 to 1392 of the family's 1533-position model. The record is from RNAcentral.